AGAGUUUGAUCCAUGGCUCAGGAUGAACGCUGGCGGCGUGCUUAACACAUGCAAGUCGAACGGUGAAGCCAAGCUUGCUUGGUGGAUCAGUGGCGAACGGGUGAGUAACACGUGAGCAACCUGCCCUGGACUCUGGGAUAAGCGCUGGAAACGGCGUCUAAUACUGGAUAUGAGCUUCUACCGCAUGGUGGGGGUUGGAAAGAUUUUUUGGUCUGGGAUGGGCUCGCGGCCUAUCAGCUUGUUGGUGAGGUAAUGGCUCACCAAGGCGUCGACGGGUAGCCGGCCUGAGAGGAUGACCAGCCACACUGGAACUGAGACACGGCCCAGACUCCUACGGGAGGCAGCAGUGGGGAAUAUUGCGCAAUGGGCGAAAGCCUGACGCAGCGACGCCGCGUGAGGGAUGAAGGCCUUCGGGUUGUAAACCUCUUUCAGCAGGGAAGAAGCGAAAGUGACGGUACCUGCAGAAGAAGCACCGGCUAACUACGUGCCAGCAGCCGCGGUAAUACGUAGGGUGCAAGCGUUGUCCGGAAUUAUUGGGCGUAAAGAGCUCGUAGGCGGUUUGUCGCGUCUGCUGUGAAAACGCGGGGCUCAACUCCGCGCCUGCAGUGGGUACGGGCAGACUAGAGUGCAGUAGGGGAGACUGGAAUUCCUGGUGUAGCGGUGGAAUGCGCAGAUAUCAGGAGGAACACCGGUGGCGAAGGCGGGUCUCUGGGCUGUAACUGACGCUGAGGAGCGAAAGCGUGGGUAGCGAACAGGAUUAGAUACCCUGGUAGUCCACGCCGUAAACGUUGGGCGCUAGGUGUGGGGCUCAUUCCACGAGUUCCGUGCCGCAGCAAACGCAUUAAGCGCCCCGCCUGGGGAGUACGGCCGCAAGGCUAAAACUCAAAGGAAUUGACGGGGCCCCGCACAAGCGGCGGAGCAUGCGGAUUAAUUCGAUGCAACGCGAAGAACCUUACCAAGGCUUGACAUGCAGGGUAAUCCGGCAGAGAUGUCGGGUCCGCAAGGGAUCUUGCACAGGUGGUGCAUGGUUGUCGUCAGCUCGUGUCGUGAGAUGUUGGGUUAAGUCCCGCAACGAGCGCAACCCUCGUCCUAUGUUGCCAGCGCGUGAUGGCGGGGACUCAUAGGAGACUGCCGGGGUCAACUCGGAGGAAGGUGGGGAUGACGUCAAAUCAUCAUGCCCCUUAUGUCUUGGGCUUCACGCAUGCUACAAUGGCCAGUACAAAGGGCUGCGAGACCGUGAGGUGGAGCGGAUCCCAAAAAGCUGGUCUCAGUUCGGAUCGGGGUCUGCAACUCGACCCCGUGAAGUCGGAGUCGCUAGUAAUCGCAGAUCAGCAACGCUGCGGUGAAUACGUUCCCGGGGCUUGUACACACCGCCCGUCACGUCACGAAAGUUGGUAACACCCGAAGCCGGUGGCCUAACCCGUAAGGGAGGGAGCUGUCGAAGGUGGGACUGGCGAUUGGGACGAAGUCGUAACAAGGUAACCGUA
This 1487-nucleotide ribosomal RNA is filed under the name uncultured bacterium. Its description in RNAcentral is "bacterial SSU rRNA". It matches the Rfam family "Bacterial small subunit ribosomal RNA". The record is from RNAcentral.